Molecule: ribosomal RNA, 404 nt
Filed under: bacterium
Lineage: Bacteria
Description: partial 16S ribosomal RNA
Rfam family: Bacterial small subunit ribosomal RNA
Source: RNAcentral
UGGGGAAUAUUGGACAAUGGGCGCAAGCCUGAUCCAGCCAUGCCGCGUGAGUGAUGAAGGCCUUAGGGUUGUAAAGCUCUUUUGUCCGGGAAGAUAAUGACUGUACCGGAAGAAUAAGCCCCGGCUAACUUCGUGCCAGCAGCCGCGGUAAUACGAAGGGGGCUAGCGUUGCUCGGAAUCACUGGGCGUAAAGGGCGCGUAGGCGGACUUUUAAGUCGGAGGUGAAAGCCCAGGGCUCAACCCUGGAAUUGCCUUCGAUACUGGGAGUCUUGAGUUCGGAAGAGGUUGGUGGGACUGCGAGUGUAGAGUUGAAAUUCGUAGAUAUUCGCAAGAGCACCGCUGGCGACGGCGGCCAACUGGUCCGAAACUGACGCUGAGGCGCGAAAGCGUGGGGAGCAAACAGG